AGUGAACGCUGGCGGUAGGCCUAACACAUGCAAGUCGAACGGCAGCACAGUAAGAGCUUGCUCUUACGGGUGGCGAGUGGCGGACGGGUGAGGAAUACAUCGGAAUCUACUUUUUCGUGGGGGAUAACGUAGGGAAACUUACGCUAAUACCGCAUACGACCUACGGGUGAAAGCAGGGGAUCUUCGGACCUUGCGCGAUUGAAUGAGCCGAUGUCGGAUUAGCUAGUUGGCGGGGUAAAGGCCCACCAAGGCGACGAUCCGUAGCUGGUCUGAGAGGAUGAUUAGCCACACUGGAACUGAGAAAGGGUCCAGACUCCUACGGGAGGCAGCAGUGGAGAAUAUUGGACGAUGGGGGCAAGCCUGAUCCAGCCAUACCGCGUGGGUGAAGAAGGCCUUCGGGUUGUAAAGCCCUUUUGUUGGGAAAGAAAAGCAGCAGGUUAAUACGCCGCUGUUCUGACGGUACCCAAAGAAUAAGCACCGGCUAACUUCGUG
This 492-nucleotide ribosomal RNA is filed under the name uncultured bacterium. Its description in RNAcentral is "partial 16S ribosomal RNA". It matches the Rfam family "Bacterial small subunit ribosomal RNA", at positions 29 to 507 of the family's 1533-position model. The record is from RNAcentral.